RNAcentral lists this ribosomal RNA (917 nucleotides) under Aspergillus neoflavipes. Its description in RNAcentral is "LSU rRNA". It matches the Rfam family "Eukaryotic large subunit ribosomal RNA", at positions 38 to 966 of the family's 3401-position model. The record is from RNAcentral. Lineage: Eukaryota; Fungi; Ascomycota; Eurotiomycetes; Eurotiales; Aspergillaceae.
GCAUAUCAAUAAGCGGAGGAAAAGAAACCAACCGGGAUUGCCUCAGUAACGGCGAAGUGAAGCGGCAAGAAGCUCAAAUUUGAAAGCUGGCCCCUUCGGGGUCCGCAUUGUAAUUUGCAGAGGAUGCUUCGGGUGCAGCCCCCGUCUAAGUGCCCUGGAAUGGGCCGUCAGAGAGGGUGAGAAUCCCGUCUGGGAUGGGGUGCCUGUGCCCGUGUGAAGCUCCUUCGACGAGUCGAGUUGUUUGGGAAUGCAGCUCUAAAUGGGUGGUAAAUUUCAUCUAAAGCUAAAUAUUGGCCGGAGACCGAUAGCGCACAAGUAGAGUGAUCGAAAGAUGAAAAGCACUUUGAAAAGAGAGUUAAACAGCACGUGAAAUUGUUGAAAGGGAAGCGCUUGCGACCAGACUCGCCUCCGGGGUUCAGCCGGCAUUCGUGCCGGUGUACUUCCCCGGGGGCGGGCCAGCGUCGGUUUGGGCGGCCGGUCAAAGGCCUCCGGAAUGUAGCGCCCUUCGGGGCGCCUUAUAGCCGGGGGUGCAAUGCGGCCAGCCUGGACCGAGGAACGCGCUUCGGCUCGGACGCUGGCAUAAUGGUCGUAAACGACCCGUCUUGAAACACGGACCAAGGAGUCUAACAUCUACGCGAGUGUUCGGGUGUCAAACCCGUACGCGCAGUGAAAGCGAACGGAGGUGAGAGCCCCCUCGUGGGGCGCAUCAUCGACCGAUCCUGAAGUCUUCGGAUGGAUUUGAGUAGGAGCGUAGCUGUGGGGACCCGAAAGAUGGUGAACUAUGCCUGAAUAGGGCGAAGCCAGAGGAAACUCUGGUGGAGGCUCGCAGCGGUUUCUGACGUGCAAAUCGAUCGUCAAAUUUGGGUAUAGGGGGCGAAAGACUAAUCGAACCAUCUGGUAGCUGGUUCCUGCCGAAG